This 477-nucleotide ribosomal RNA is filed under the name uncultured bacterium. Its description in RNAcentral is "bacterial SSU rRNA". It matches the Rfam family "Bacterial small subunit ribosomal RNA", at positions 28 to 524 of the family's 1533-position model. The record is from RNAcentral.
GACGAACGCUAGCGGCGUGCUUAACACAUGCAAGUCGAACGGUAAGGCCCUUCGGGGUACACGAGUGGCGAACGGGUGAGUAACACGUGGGUGAUCUGCCCUGCACUUCGGGAUAAGCCUGGGAAACUGGGUCUAAUACCGGAUAGGACUCCUGGCUUCAUGGUUGGGGGUGUAAAGCUUUUGCGGUGUGGGAUGGGCCCGCGGCCUAUCAGCUUGUUGGUGGGGUAAUGGCCUACCAAGGCGACGACGGGUAGCCGGCCUGAGAGGGUGACCGGCCACACUGGGACUGAGAUACGGCCCAGACUCCUACGGGAGGCAGCAGUGGGAAUAUUGCACAAUGGGCGCAAGCCUGAUGCAGCGACGCCGCGUGAGGGAUGACGGCCUUGGGUUGUAAACCUCUUUCGAUAGGGACGAAGCGCAAGUGACGGUACCUAUAGAAGAAGGACCGGCCAACUACGUGCCAGCAGCCGCGGUAAU